RNAcentral lists this ribosomal RNA (492 nucleotides) under uncultured bacterium. RNAcentral's name for it is "partial 16S ribosomal RNA". It matches the Rfam family "Bacterial small subunit ribosomal RNA", at positions 29 to 507 of the family's 1533-position model. The record is from RNAcentral.
AGUGAACGCUGGCGGUAGGCCUAACACAUGCAAGUCGAGCGGCAGCACAGUAAGAGCUUGCUCUUACGGGUGGCGAGUGGCGGACGGGUGAGGAAUACAUCGGAAUCUACUUUUUCGUGGGGGAUAACGUAGGGAAACUUACGCUGAUACCGCAUACGACCUACGGGUGAAAGCAGGGGAUCUUCGGACCUUGCGCGAUUGAAUGAGCCGAUGUCGGAUUAGCUAGUUGGCGGGGUAAAGGCCCACCAAGGCGACGAUCCGUAGCUGGUCUGAGAGGAUGAUCAGCCACACUGGAACUGAGACACGGUCCAGACUCCUACGGGAGGCAGCAGUGGGGAAUAUUGGACAAUGGGCGCAAGCCUGAUCCAGCCAUACCGCGUGGGUGAAGAAGGCCUUCGGGUUGUAAAGCCCUUUUGUUGGGAAAGAAAAGCAGCAGGUUAAUACCCCGCUGUUCUGACGGUACCCAAAGAAUAAGCACCGGCUAACUUCGUG